Gossypium arboreum is the source of this 383-nucleotide long non-coding RNA. RefSeq lists it as uncharacterized. NCBI's taxonomy places the organism in Eukaryota, Viridiplantae, Streptophyta, Magnoliopsida, Malvales, Malvaceae. The transcript has 2 exons. The record is from RefSeq and is a predicted model, not a curated record.
UUUUGACCAAAUAGGUAAUAAAAUAAAAAUAGGAUGAUAUCAUCCCUUUUUCAUCUUCUCUCCACCGAUUUUUCCAGCCAAGAAAUGGGUUUUGAAAGCUUCAUAUUUUCAGCAACUUUGAGGCUUAGCAAAUCGUUGACUCUUACUAUUAGCACGGGGAUCGUCAGCACUUCGUCACACUAUCUACUAUUGUGGUUAUCAUGUGUUUUGGACUUAGUUUAUGGCAUGUAUAGGUUAGACUAUAAGUAGAAUGAUAUUUUGACUAUUGUAUAUAAGCCAUGCGAAUAUGGCAUCUUAUAGAAGUUUACUUUUAUAAGUUUUAAAUUCGAUCUUUGUUUGUAUCUAUUAGUUAUAUAUAUAAAUGAUCUUUUAUUUAAGAAAAA